This 655-nucleotide long non-coding RNA is filed under the name Olea europaea subsp. europaea. Lineage: Eukaryota; Viridiplantae; Streptophyta; Magnoliopsida; Lamiales; Oleaceae. The record is from RNAcentral.
CUUCUCAUUCCUAUCUGAAUCAACCCGAAUUGUAGGUUUUUUAUCCUCAAUUUUCUGUUCAGAAUUAUUACUCAAUUUUUGAGUUGCAGGCUUCGAAUUGGAUGAUAAAGAUUGAUUAUGCUUUGGAGUACUCAAAGAUUGGGAGGGCCUGGUUGCAUUGAAGUUUGCAGGACCUGAAGGAGGAGGAGAAGAAGAAGAAGAAGAAGAAGAGCCCAAGACUCUACCUUGACCCCUGAAUUUGCCUGAAGAAGGCGAUGAAAAUGGGUUGUUGACUUUCUUCAUUAACCCCUUCAUUUUAUCUUUCAUCUCAUCCAUUUUCUUCCUAUUUCAAUGAAAUACAAACCAAAAACGAAUCAGAAAUCGAAACACCUCAAAAACAAGAAAGAAACGGAAUCUGAAUGAAUAUAUAUAUCCGUUUUCAACAUUUUCAACAAGAUAUAUGAACGAAUGGGAUAUUUAUAGUUACAAGGGAAAAGUGAAACUUUUAAGCUGAAUAUAUAAAUAUAAAAUUUCUUCUUGGACACGUGAAGUGAGACAAGGUACGAAGAGCACAAGAAAAUAGGGGCUGAGAAAUCUAUGGAGGGGUCGGUCCUUUGAGCAAAGCCAAAGGGUUAUGGAGCAAUUCGCUGAAUUUUGUUUUACUUUCUUUGGGUUA